RNAcentral lists this long non-coding RNA (1516 nucleotides) under Sus scrofa (pig). RNAcentral describes it as "lncRNA (ENSSSCG00030068151.1)". The record is from RNAcentral. Lineage: Eukaryota; Metazoa; Chordata; Mammalia; Artiodactyla; Suidae.
AUGGAAGUAAAUACAGCAAAGAGAAAAUGGAAUCAUCAACCGCUGUGCAAGGUUGGAAACUGUAGGGAGUCCAGGAGUGGGAGAGCUUCUGUCCCGGAGGAGAAGAGCCAUGGAUAUGCUGCCACAAUUGAGAUCGCAGAGACAGGGCCACAACAGGAACUCCUGUCCUCAUUUCAACUACUUCACUCCAGCCGUUUUGUUUCCAAGUCUCUCAAAGCAAUCCAGGAAAAACUUUAAAUCAGCAUCGGUUUGAUUCUUGACUACACUUGUUUACAUUAACAAUCUUUUCCACACUAUUUCAAGGUCCACAAAUGUCGAGUCUUUAAGUAACAAUUUGCAAUCAAGUAAAAACUUCUAUUCCUCCAACACAUAAAAUAGCUGAAGUUUUUAAUGUGGCGUAACCUUUGGGUAUGGUAUGAAAAUGAUGGGUGAUGUCUGGAGUUGAGUUUCCUUUUCUUCCUUUAAGUGGAGGGCUGCCCCAAUAGCAAAGUUGGCACAAAAUAGAAGAUUCCCUGGCUCUGCUGUCCCAUUCUGUGCCAGCCCCUGACCUUCAGCCGCUGCUUUGACAAGGCUGAGUCGCCUUAACUCUCCCAUCACCGCCAUGGAGAAUCUCGCAACUGGUCUUCUUUUUUUUUUAGGGAUGUACCCGCAGCACAUGGAGGUUCCCAGUCUAGGGGUCAAAUCAGGGCUUCAUCUGCCAGUCUACACCCAGUCACAGCAACACAAGAACCAAGCCACAUCUGUGACCUACACCACAGCCCAUGGCAACACCAGAUCCUUAACCCACUGAGGGAGGCCAGGGAUCGUGAGAACCUGAUAUCGUCCUCAUGGAUACUAGUCAGGUCCUUAAACCGCUGAGCCACAAAGGGAUCUCAUCAACUAGUCCUUUCAUCCUUUACCACUGAGUCACCCCAAGAGGCUGGGGAGUGAGUCUUUUCUUGAGGCUUGGGGCUGGGUAUGGCCUGAAGGGACCAGCCAAAAACAAGCACAACAUUUACUUGAAACAUUCUAAAUUUGCAUUCUAACUCCAAAAAUAUGUAUCUGUACCUAUUCCCCCCCAAAAUCUCUCCAGUGAAUCCAAUGUUCCAGGAAGAUGGCAACUGUGCCUGUGUUGGGAGCAUCCCUGACUGAAACUGCCCACCUUGGCCAGGCACAAUAAUAGCCACUUGCAUGACCUGUCACAACAGGAGGCCCUGAUAAGGCACAUGGUGCUGCACCCAAGACUAACUGGGUGGAUUUGGGAGGGGCCAAUAGGAGAGAGGAGACAACCAUCCUCCCAGGAUCCUUGGUGCUGGAAUCCAUGUUGGCUGAGAGCUGCAGGUGCCACUAAAAAGGACCCUGCGUCAGCUUAAGUAUGAGAGGAGCAAGACAAUUGGCCAGAGACAAUACGAAAACAAACCUCAUUCCCAUAAAACCAGAGACAGCGAGCCACAUGGCAGAGCAGUUCUCCUGAGUUCCCUUACCCUGCUGCUCUCCACCUGGGUGCCCCUUCCCAAUAAAGACUUUUGCUUUGCCA